CUCACUUUAGCUCAGCUGGAAGAGCAUGAGACUGUAAUACGGAUACCGAAGCAAAUCUCAGGGUCGCCUGUUCGAGCCAGGCAAGUGAGA
This 90-nucleotide transfer RNA is filed under the name Ephemerocybe angulata. RNAcentral describes it as "Coprinellus angulatus tRNA". It matches the Rfam family "tRNA". From Rfam's summary of the family: Transfer RNA (tRNA) molecules are approximately 80 nucleotides in length. Lineage: Eukaryota; Fungi; Basidiomycota; Agaricomycetes; Agaricales; Psathyrellaceae. The record is from Rfam by way of RNAcentral.